RNAcentral lists this ribosomal RNA (1343 nucleotides) under uncultured bacterium. Its description in RNAcentral is "16S ribosomal RNA". It matches the Rfam family "Bacterial small subunit ribosomal RNA", at positions 28 to 1378 of the family's 1533-position model. The record is from RNAcentral.
GACGAACGCUGGCGGCGUGCUUAACACAUGCAAGUCGAACGGAAAGGCCCUGCUUUUGUGGGGUGCUCGAGUGGCGAACGGGUGAGUAACACGUGAGUAACCUGCCCUUGACUUUGGGAUAACUUCAGGAAACUGGGGCUAAUACCGGAUAGGAGCUCCUGCUGCAUGGUGGGGGUUGGAAAGUUUCGGCGGUUGGGGAUGGACUCGCGGCUUAUCAGCUUGUUGGUGGGGUAGUGGCUUACCAAGGCUUUGACGGGUAGCCGGCCUGAGAGGGUGACCGGCCACAUUGGGACUGAGAUACGGCCCAGACUCCUACGGGAGGCAGCAGUGGUGAAUAUUGCACAAUGGGCGGAAGCCUGAUGCAGCAACGCCGCGUGCGGGAUGACGGCCUUCGGGUUGUAAACCGCUUUCGCCUGUGACGAAGCGUGAGUGACGGUAAUGGGUAAAGAAGCACCGGCUAACUACGUGCCAGCAGCCGCGGUGAUACGUAGGGUGCGAGCGUUGUCCGGAUUUAUUGGGCGUAAAGGGCUCGUAGGUGGUUGAUCGCGUCGGAAGUGUAAUCUUGGGGCUUAACCCUGAGCGUGCUUUCGAUACGGGUUGACUUGAGGAAGGUAGGGGAGAAUGGAAUUCCUGGUGGAGCGGUGGAAUGCGCAGAUAUCAGGAGGAACACCAGUGGCGAAGGCGGUUCUCUGGGCCUUUCCUGACGCUGAGGAGCGAAAGCGUGGGGAGCGAACAGGCUUAGAUACCCUGGUAGUCCACGCUGUAAACGGUGGGUACUAGGUGUGGGGUCCAUUCCACGGGUUCCGUGCCGUAGCUAACGCUUUAAGUACCCCGCCUGGGGAGUACGGCCGCAAGGCUAAAACUCAAAGGAAUUGACGGGGCCCCGCACAAGCGGCGGAGCAUGCGGAUUAAUUCGAUGCAACGCGUAGAACCUUACCUGGGUUUGACAUGGAUCGGGAGUGCUCAGAGAUGGGUGUGCCUCUUUUGGGGUCGGUUCACAGGUGGUGCAUGCCUGUCGUCAGCUCGUGUCGUGAGAUGUUGGGUUAAGUCCCGCAACGAGCGCAACCCUUGUUCACUGUUGCCAGCACGUUAUGGUGGGGACUCAGUGGAGACCGCCGGGGUCAACUCGGAGGAAGGUGGGGAUGACGUCAAGUCAUCAUGCCCCUUAUGUCCAGGGCUUCACGCAUGCUACAAUGGCUGGUACAGAGAGUGGCGAGCCUGUGAGGGUGAGCGAAUCUCGGAAAGCCGGUCUCAGUUCGGAUUGGGGUCUGCAACUCGACCUCAUGAAGUCGGAGUCGCUAGUAAUCGCAGAUCAGCAACGCUGCGGUGAAUACGUUCCCGGG